CGCCUCUUGACAAAUAAUAAGAGGUCCUGCCUGCCCAGUGACUUGUUCAACGGCCGCGGUACCCUAACCGCGCGAAGGUAGCAUAAUCACUUGUCUCUUAAAUAGGGACUUGUAUCAACGGCAUCACGAGGGUUAUACUGUCUCCCCCCUCCAAUCAGUGAAACUGAUCUCCCUAUGAAAAAGUAGGGAUAAUAUUAUAAGACGAGAAGACCCCAUGGAGCUUUAAACCCAAUAGCAAUUCAGCAAACUCCCUUCUAAGCUAUAAAUCAUGCUAGCGGCUUUAGGUUGGGGUGACCACGGAGUAAAAAUUAACCUCCAUAACGAAAAGACUAAAAUCUUUACCCAAGAACUACUAUUCUAAGAAUUAGAAAACUAACGUACAAUGACCCGAUAUCGAUCAACGAACCAAGUUACCCUGGGGAUAACAGCGCAAUCUACCUAGAGAGUCCAUAUCGAUAGGUGGGCUUACGACCUCGAUGUUGGAUCAGGGUAUCCCAGUGGUGCAGCCGCUACUGAAGGUUCGUUUGUUCAACGAUUAAAACCCU
This 545-nucleotide ribosomal RNA is filed under the name Raorchestes blandus. RNAcentral describes it as "partial 16S ribosomal RNA". It matches the Rfam family "Bacterial large subunit ribosomal RNA", at positions 1829 to 2597 of the family's 2925-position model. Lineage: Eukaryota; Metazoa; Chordata; Amphibia; Anura; Rhacophoridae. The record is from RNAcentral.